CGGCAGCGGAGGAGGAGCAG
Molecule: unclassified non-coding RNA, 20 nt
Filed under: Chlamydomonas reinhardtii
Lineage: Eukaryota; Viridiplantae; Chlorophyta; Chlorophyceae; Chlamydomonadales; Chlamydomonadaceae
Description: small RNA Cre_1309
Source: RNAcentral